CUAGAGUGAUGCCUACAAGUCCCCAGUCAUUGUCUUAAACCUAUAGUCACCUUCAAUUCCAGAGAAAGCAGAGCUUUGUGAGCCCCUCAUGGUGAAGUCACCCUCUGAGUAGGAGCAGUUACCCCAUAUGGGACCCACAGUUGGCCCCUAAGUGGGCACCAUCAUCUCAUGAUAGCAACUGAAUCAUCCCCUCAGGUGACAAAAGCUGUCCCCAGACUUCAUAGAACCAGUCCUGAGACACCCAUCAACCAACCUUGACCAGGAUGACCUACAAGCCUUGCAUUCAAUAAAAUCCCAAGACUUUUGCCAUCAGUUCCUGGAAGAAACCUCCUGAGCCUGGCCUUUACAAGCUUUCUGGUCUUCUGAGCUCUGCCUGGAAGAUCCUGGACUCAUGGCAUGGGAACAGCGAAUCAAACCUGCAGACACAUGGUGACUACUGGCGACCCCAGAGGCCUUCACAGAGAAAAGCACCAGUGGAAGGGAGCAAUGGACACAGUGGACUCCAGUGGCCGCUUAUCUCAAAUUCCAGAAACAGCAAGCUUUACACUGAAACUGUGCCUCUCAAGCAAUAACAACUUCCCUGGUGCCACCUGGGAUGCCUAUGAUCAAACCUGAGACAAGAUCAACCCUUGUUCUUCCCCCGAAUGAUUCAGCAACUACUGUUAGCACCUCAACAGGAGGAGUUCGGCUUAUCAGCUUCGGUCCUCCCUGGGUCUGGCCACACAUAAAUAAUUCUUAGCUGUUUCGCUACCACUCUCCUCACUGCUGUUGAGAUCUUUUGGGGCAAAUGGCAGACCUGAACUGCUGGGACUCAGCCAGCCAGGCCUUCUAUCCUACGUUCCAGGAAUGUUUUCAGAAAAGAACUGCACAUCCCUAACUGGCC
Heterocephalus glaber (naked mole-rat) is the source of this 883-nucleotide long non-coding RNA. The record is from Ensembl. NCBI's taxonomy places the organism in Eukaryota, Metazoa, Chordata, Mammalia, Rodentia, Bathyergidae.